CAAUAGCGUAUAUUAAAGUUGUUGCAGUUAAAAAGCUCGUAGUUGGAUUUGUGGCUGUCACGGGCGGCCUAUCACUUAGUGUUAGUGCUUGCCUGUGUCGCCAUCCUUGGGUGGAGCCCGUGUGGCAUUAGGUUGUCGUGCAGGGGAUGCCCAUCGUUUACUGUGAGAAAAUUAGAGUGUUCAAAGCAGGCUUAUGCCGUUGAAUAUGUUAGCAUGGAAUAAUAAGAUAGGACCUCGGUACUAUUUUGUUGGUUUGCGCACCGAGGUAAUGAUUAAUAGGGACAGUUGGGGGUAUUCGUAUUUCAUUGUCAGAGGUGAAAUUCUUGGAUUUCUGAAAGACGAACUACUGCGAAAGCAUUUACCAAGGAUGUUUUCAUUAA
Molecule: ribosomal RNA, 380 nt
Filed under: uncultured eukaryote
Lineage: Eukaryota
Description: partial 18S ribosomal RNA
Rfam family: Eukaryotic small subunit ribosomal RNA
Source: RNAcentral